RNAcentral lists this ribosomal RNA (519 nucleotides) under uncultured bacterium. Its description in RNAcentral is "bacterial SSU rRNA". It matches the Rfam family "Bacterial small subunit ribosomal RNA", at positions 395 to 916 of the family's 1533-position model. The record is from RNAcentral.
CAGUGCGUGCAGAUGACGGCCCUAUGGGUUGUAACUGCUUUUAUAGGGGGAUAAAGUGUGCCACGUGUGGCAUAUUGCAGGUACCCUAUGAAUAAGGACCGGCUAAUUCCGUGCCAGCAGCCGCGGUAAUACGGAAGGUCCAGGCGUUAUCCGGAUUUAUUGGGUUUAAAGGGAGCGUAGGCCGUUUGGUAAGCGUGUUGUGAAAUGUCGGGGCUCAACCUGGGCAUUGCAGCGCGAACUGUCAGACUUGAGUGCGCAGGAAGUAGGCGGAAUUCGUCGUGUAGCGGUGAAGGGGGGAGAUAUGACGAAGAACUCCGAUUGCGAAGGCAGCCUGCUGUAGCGCAACUGACGCUGAAGCUCGAAAGCGUGGGUAUCGAACAGGAUUAGAUACCCUGGUAGUCCACGCGGGGGGGCGAUGGUUGCUCGCUGUUUGCGUCUGACGUAAGCGGCCAAGCGAAAGCGUUAAGCAUCCCACCUGGGGAGUACGCCGGCAACGGUGAAACUCAAAGGAAUUGACGG